This 500-nucleotide ribosomal RNA is filed under the name uncultured bacterium. RNAcentral describes it as "partial 16S ribosomal RNA". It matches the Rfam family "Bacterial small subunit ribosomal RNA", at positions 30 to 523 of the family's 1533-position model. The record is from RNAcentral.
AUUGAACGCUGGCGGCAGGCCUAACACAUGCAAGUCGAGCGGAUGAUGGGAGCUUGCUCCUGGAUUCAGCGGCGGACGGGUGAGUAAUGCCUAGGAAUCUGCCUGGUAGUGGGGGACAACGUUUCGAAAGGAACGCUAAUACCGCAUACGUCCUACGGGAGAAAGCAGGGGACCUUCGGGCCUUGCGCUCUCAGAUGAGCCUAGGUCGGAUUAGCUAGUUGGUGGGGUAAAGGCCUACCAAGGCGACGAUCCGUAACUGGUCUGAGAGGAUGAUCAGUCACACUGGAACUGAGACACGGUCCAGACUCCUACGGGAGGCAGCAGUGGGGAAUAUUGGACAAUGGGCGAAAGCCUGAUCCAGCCAUGCCGCGUGUGUGAAGAAGGUCUUCGGAUUGUAAAGCACUUUAAGUUGGGAGGAAGGGCAGUAAGUUAAUACCUUGCUGUUUUGACGUUACCAACAGAAUAAGCACCGGCUAACUUCGUGCCAGCCGCCGCAGUAA